GAUGAACGCUGGCGGCGUGCCUAACACAUGCAAGUCGAGCGAGGAUGAGGAAGCUUGCUUCCAAAUCCUAGCGGCGGACGGGUGAGUAACGCGUGGGCAACCUACCCUAUGCAGGGGGAUAACAUUGGGAAACCAGUGCUAAUACCGCAUAAAGCCGAGAAGGGGCAUCCCUUUAUGGUCAAAGAACUUCGGCAUAGGAUGGGCCCGCGUCUGAUUAGUUAGUUGGUAAGGUAACGGCUUACCAAGACGAUGAUCAGUAGCCGGCCUGAGAGGGUGACCGGCCACACUGGAACGGAGACACGGUCCAGACUCCUACGGGAGGCAGCAGUGGGGAAUAUUGCACAAUGGGGGAAACCCUGAUGCAGCAACGCCGCGUGAGCGAAGAAGGCCUUCGGGUCGUAAAGCUCUGUCCUAAGGGAAGAUAAUGACGGUACCUUAGGAGGAAGCCCCGGCUAACUACGUGCCAGCCGCCGCAGUAA
RNAcentral lists this ribosomal RNA (479 nucleotides) under uncultured bacterium. RNAcentral describes it as "partial 16S ribosomal RNA". It matches the Rfam family "Bacterial small subunit ribosomal RNA", at positions 28 to 523 of the family's 1533-position model. The record is from RNAcentral.